GAUGAACGCUGGCGGCGUGCCUAAUACAUGCAAGUCGAGCGAGCGGACGAGAAGCUUGCUUCUCUGAUGUUAGCGGCGGACGGGUGAGUAACACGUGGAUAACCUACCUAUAAGACUGGGAUAACUUCGGGAAACCGUAGCUAAUACCGGAUAAUAUUUUGAACCGCAUGGUUCAAAAGUGAAAGACGGUCUUGCUGUCACUUAUAGAUGGAUCCGCGCUGCAUUAGCUAGUUGGUAAGGUAACGGCUUACCAAGGCAACGAUGCAUAGCCGACCUGAGAGGGUGAUCGGCCACACGGGAACUGAGACACGGUCCAGACUCCUACGGGAGGCAGCAGUAGGGAAUCUUCCGCAAUGGGCGAAAGCCUGACGGAGCAACGCCGCGUGAGUGAUGAAGGUCUUCGGAUCGUAAAACUCUGUUAUUAGGGAAGAACAUAUGUGUAAGUAACUGUGCACAUCUUGACGGUACCUAAUCAGAAAGCCACGGCUAACUACGUG
RNAcentral lists this ribosomal RNA (497 nucleotides) under uncultured bacterium. RNAcentral's name for it is "partial 16S ribosomal RNA". It matches the Rfam family "Bacterial small subunit ribosomal RNA", at positions 28 to 507 of the family's 1533-position model. The record is from RNAcentral.